ACCAUGAUUUAUGUAAAUUUACCUAAAUAAUAUGAAUGUUCAGGUUAAAAUUGUACAGUGAUAUUUAUUAUGUAAGUUUAGCUGAUUAAAGUUUAUGACUCUGCACUAAAAUAUUAUUUAAAUUGACAUCAUUAUUAUAAUAUUUAGGGUCAGACCCUACAGUAUUGAGAUUAAGAAAUCAAAUAUUCUAUAAAAUGUAAAUACACUGAACUCAUUUGGAUAUAUUUAAGUGAGACUCUACAAUAUUAUUUGACACAAAUCUAUCUAAAUCAAAAUUUUAAUAAUUUUCACACCAAACAUUUACUGGACUGAUUUAAACAUUAAAAUCACUCCUUUCUAAUCCUCUGCUGUACGUUCAAACCUGAGGCCUUAAACAGAAACACACAAGUAUCUGUUUGAAGGAACUUCUGCAGAGUCCUGGUUCCAGAACAUGAUGAUAGAAUUAUAGACAAACUUUAACAAAAGCUGCCUAAGAGUUUACAGGUUUUUAUGUUGGAUUUCUUCAGUAAUUUAAUGAGCGUUAUCAGCAAUAAUCAAGUGUUCAUUUGAUGAACUUCAUUUCCUAAAACAUCCAGAAUUGGAGCUCAUAUCUUUGACAGCUGUAAAGUUUCUGCUCCUUCAAAGUUCACAACACAAUGAAUUAAUUCCUAAAACACUCUCAAUGCUGGAGAACGUUUGUGAUGCUGAAGCAGUGAGCAGUUUUUCUGUUUCUUCUCUGGAGAUGCACAAUGAGGGACGUCUGCAGUGACUGAGAAAGAGUCUCACCACAUCCUGACAUGAGGAAAACGACUUUAUUGAAGACUACAAUGAGAAAAACUAUCAGACAGCAGAGGGCUGCAUUCAAGAGAAGAAGACCAUCAAACAUCCACGUCAGCUGAUAGAGGUCCAAGAGUCUCACCAAACAAACAACCUACAGAGUGAAGACCUCAAAUCUGAUUGGACGGCCUCCUAUUCAGCCACGCUGUUAGAUUGUUCCAGAUAAGACAAGAUCCUGCAGAGCCGUUCUACCACGAGCCUGACAGGAAGAACUCCAACAGCUACUGAAUGUUCCUGUGGUUCCCUCAAGGCUACAGGAGGAGUCCUACGAGGACGAGCCGGUCCACCUGAUGGUGGCCAGUUGCUGUGGUUCAAAGCCAACACCGACUACGUGGACUUCUACUGGACCACACGGAGGCCUUCAAACUGGACCACCAAGUUCACUGACUCCCCGACUCGUGGGUCUGAGGACGCCGCCGAGCCUCGGCCCAGCCGGCCUCCUGUCUGUGGGUGUUUGAGUGCUGAGAGGUUUGUGGAUGCAUGUGAACAUGUCUGUGUUGAAACAGCAGCUUUGGACUCAGUAACGCUGGGAAAAACCAAGAGCUCCUUUAUUUGUGACUUCCACUAAAAAACUGAUGAAAAUAAGUUUGCCAGGGUUCUGACUGAUAACAGAUUAUUAAAUAAUGAAAAUAAUCGUUUAAAUAUUUCUUUAAACAAUCCUUUUAGGUCUACAUUUCCUUUACACUGACUUCUUGGUAUAUGUACAACUAUUUUGGAUGGACUAUACCAUUAAGUCCAAUGUUCAAGGGUUCUUCUGGGAAUAUACCAUUAAACCAACCUUUUAGGUAAAUGUUCCAGGAUGUUGGGUAGAAUAUACCAUCAGAUCAACCUUUUAGGUCUACAUUGGAAGAUUUUAGAGUAGAAUAUUACUCCAAACCAUCCUUUAGGUCUACAUUUAAGGUGGAAUACUCCUUUACACCAAGAUUUUUUGGUCUCGAUUGAAGGAUUUUAGGUGGAAUAUUCCUUUGAAUGAACUUUUUAAGUUUAUGUUCAAGGAUGUUGGGUGGAAUAUACCAUCAGACCAACCUCCAAGGUCUACAGUAGUGAAUUUUAGCUGGAAUAUACCAUUAAACUCACCUUUUAAGUCUACAUUGGAGGAUUUUAGGUGGAAUUUUCUUCCAAACCAUCUUUUAGUCUACAUUUAAGGAUGUUUAGGAUGGUAUAUUCUUCCGAACCAACUUCUCAGGUCUUCAUUUCAGGUGGAAUAUUCCUCCAUACUAACUUUUUUGGUCUACAUUGAAAGAUUUUUUCUAAACCACCCUUUCGGGUCUAUAUUUGGGGUUUUAGGUGGAAUAUUCCUUUUAACCAGCCCCUCAGGUCUCUUUGAGGAUUUUGGAUGGAAUACUCAGUUAAAUCAACAUUUUAGGUGCAUGUCCAAGGAUUUUUGGUGGAAUGUUCCUUUAAGGUGGAUGUUUGAGGACCUUGUAGGUGGAAUACUUCCUGAAACUAACCUUUUAGGUCAACAUUCAAAGAUUUAAGGUGGAAUAUUCCUUUAAACCAACCUAAAUUUCAUGUUUUGAUCAUUAUCAAGUGAGAAACCUCAAUCCAGACUCCUCAUAAUGACGUUUGAGAUUUAUGCUGCUGUUAUUUGUUUAGUCCAGACUAAAUGACAGAAAUCCACAACUGUAAUUUUAUUUCAGGACUCGGUUAUUAAAUGUCAAAACAAUCCAUGUGACUCUAAAAACUCAACAGCUGAACUCUCCACAAGGAUCCAAAAUAAGUUGGACUUCUACAUGAGAGCUUUAAUUAUUCUUCAUCUACUACC
This is a long non-coding RNA of Amphiprion ocellaris (clown anemonefish), 2581 nucleotides long. Lineage: Eukaryota; Metazoa; Chordata; Actinopteri; Pomacentridae. The record is from Ensembl.